Molecule: long non-coding RNA, 3181 nt
Filed under: Monodelphis domestica (gray short-tailed opossum)
Lineage: Eukaryota; Metazoa; Chordata; Mammalia; Didelphimorphia; Didelphidae
Description: lncRNA (ENSMODG00000039578.1)
Source: RNAcentral
AUGCUCAAAUCCGUCCCCGAUAUGAAGCCGGCAUUUCCCUGGCCAGCGCCGGGGGGCUUCGAACAUGGGGCCGGGGAGUCGGAAGGCCUCAAUCUUGCACCGCCUUCCCCUGGAGCGGAGCUUUCCUUUAUAAGACCGCGCGGAAGGCUCCGAGGAGAAGGAAGAAUCCGCACCGGGAAGGGAAAGAAGGCAGGCAGCCAGGGAGGCUUGUCCCCUUAUGCUGGGGGGUCCGUGACCCCCGCCGGCUCUUUAUUUACCUGGAGGAAGACAUCCAGAUGGGAAGGGGAGCGAGGCCUGGGGAGCCACCAGCCGCCUCACCGGCCCUUCCAGCCAUCCAUCCAUCCAGCCAUCCAUCGUGCCCAGCUGGCCGAGAAACUACUGGGAACAGCUCAGGAACGGGGACGUGCCUCACCUUACCAGGGGCGCCCCCAGCAAGAACAGACGGCGGCCGGCUCACACCCGGGCCAGAACACGGAGCAAACACACUGGGAGAGAACAAAGAAAAGCUCACAGCCCGCCCCGGAGGACCUGCAGCCCACAUCCGAGGGGAAGAAGAACCUGCGGCUCCGGGGACACGGCGGACCCGUAAAGUGGAGCAGACAGUUCAGCGCCCUUUCCAGGGCUCGCCCUCCGCAGGCGGACCCAAACCCGCCAAGGCCAGUCUGGAGGGAGAUGAUGAGGGCGGAUGGGCAGGGCGAGCCGGCCCGGCUUCGCUGUAACGAUGGUCAGCGAUGCCAGGCUGCCAAGCCGCAACAAGAGGAUUCUGUUUGUGUCGGUCGCGUUGGUCGCCCAAGAAUCGCAGUUGGAGUCCUUUAAGGGAAAACGCUCCCAAGGGCGGGUGGGUGUGUGUUAGGUGACUGGAGAGCCGCGGAGGCCGCCCUGGCCAGAGAGAUCGGCUCAACGAGAGAUCGUGCAAGAGCCGCUUCACGCAGAAGAUCUCGGGAAAGGAAGGCCCGAAGACUCAUUCACGGCACCCCCCUCUGCCAGGCCCCGCCCUCCGCCAACGCCAACGUACACCCCCAGACCCUGGCGGGCCGGCUGGCUACCGGGCUCCUCGUUUUCCUUCUCGUUUGGGGUUCAUCCUGGGGAAUUCCAGAGACAGUUGGGGAGGGAGGGAGGGAGCGAGCGAGCGAGUUAUUUAUCCGGGGAAAAGGGCGACUGGGGGCGUCCUCCUAGCCGCUGGAAUAGGCUGGCCAGGAUUCUCUGAACUUUUCUCCCGACCCCGAAGGGCUAACCAGGGGGCAACGUGCCGGGCCACGCGGCUUCCUGCCGCCCCCCCCCCCCCCCACUCUGGCAAGAACGUGCUUCUCGUGACCCGAAAGGCAGCAGGAGGCGAAGAGCCUCUCGGGCCUCGCAAGCCCUUGGCCAACAGCACGUCAGUCAGUCAGGGUCUCUGGGGAAAGACCCGGAUUCUUGACAGCCGGCACACAAAGGCCAGGUAGAAGGAGACGCUGCUCGGAGCUUCGUGUCUCCACUCCGUGACUUGGGUUGGAGAAGAGGAUUUUCUUGUGAUGCCAAAAGCCCAAGAAAGAAAAACACACAAAGAAGCCCGUUAAGGGGAAAAUAGAGAAAGGCCCAGAAACAAGGCAUUCUCGUAAGGACUGGUGUGGCUGCCAUCUCGAAGCCCUGACGGAGGUCUCUGGAGAACACGAAUCGUUAAACACUCAUUAAGCGCCUGCUGUGUGCCCGGCAGGAUGCUAAGCCCUGCUAACCCAGAGAGGACUCGUCUGGGCAUCCUCGCCUGGCCUGCUCCUGGCUACCGUCUUCAGGCAAGGCAGACAGCCCAAAGCUUGGCCUGGAGCAGCUCCCACCCUGGCCUGCGGUCACUGGCCUGGCCUUGACUCUCUCAAAGGGGACUCCCGUCCAGUAAGGAUCACUACGUAGACACAGAGGAAGCGCAGGGAGGGCCCAGCAUGCUCAGCAGUCCCAGAAGCCCUCUCUGCUCAUGGCUAGUCCACUGCCACCUCCUGGGGCUGUGAGAAGGGGGCCUCCAUGGUCAGCACUCCUGGGCCCCCGUCUCACCGCCCGUCACCUCCCCUGGGCAGACUGGGCAGGGACAAAGGCAGGGGGGCCCUGGGUGGGGUUCCUCCUGCUCCUAGGAGAAAAUGGAGAAACUACCCCAGCCUGGCCAGUCUUGCCAUCCCACAUGCCCAGGUGUUGGCCUGCCCCACGUCCUGAUGCACUAACAUCAAUGGGGACCUCCUGGCCCCGGCAGCGGGGAAAAGACAGCCUGGGGAACGGCCCCACAGGAGGGGGGGACACUCGAGGGCCUGCCUCAGAAGGAGCUGAGAGAUGAGAGCCUUGUGGGACCAGCAGGGAGACCCAUGAGAAGCGGGUGCAUCAGUGGGCACAUCCAGGGAGGGGGGCAGACACAUGGCGGCGGGUCACAACUGGGAGGGCCUGAGAUUGGAAAAUGCUAAAGGGGGCCUCUAGGCUGGCUGCUCCAUUUGCUUCUUUGGGUCUCAGUUUACCUCUGGGGCUUCCCAGCUCUCUCUCGACCUGGAAAUAGAUGUAUGCAGACACAGACAGACAGACAGUCAGACACACAGACAGACACUUUAGAUUUCUUUUCAGCCAAAGACUUUCUCUCUCUAAACUGACCCUACGUUUUCUCGCCAUGAAUCAGAGACAAAAGGUGAAAUAUUAUCCUGGCCUCUUAUGGAGGCUCUUAUUUCUAUAAUCACUUUUGCUAAGGGGACUGGCAACAUGAGCAGCCUGACUCUCAGGGAUUAAGGAACUGUGUGUGAGUGUGUAUGUGAGUGUGUGUGAGUGUGAGUGUGUGUAAGUGUAUGUGUGAGUGAGUGUGUGUAUGUGAUUGUGUGAGUGAGUGUGAGUGUGUGUAUGUGUGAGUGAAUGUGAGUGUGUGUAUGUGAUUGUGUGUGAGUGAAUGUGAGUGAGUGUGUGUGAGUGUGUGUAAGUGUAUGUGUGAGUGAGUGUGUGUAUGUGAUUGUGUGAGUGAGUGAGUGUGAGUGUGUGUGUGAGUGAAUGUGAGUGUGUGUAUGUGAUUGUGUGUGAGUGAAUGUGAGUGUGAGUGUGUGAGUGUGAGUGUGUGUAAGUGUAUGUGUGUGUGUGUGUGUACACCUAUUCCCCUGUUUGCGGAGGCUUCCCUGAGCCCCAAACAACUGGCAAGAUUGCAAACCAGAUGAAAAUAUGAUAACAAAUAAAACCUCUCAGAAGUCCA